AAAUAAGUUCAUGUUAGUGUAGGACGCUGUUUGUGAUAGUGAGGUACGACCUCAGAGACACGUCAGCGUCUGCUUUGCGUGGCUAACUGACAGAUAGCUUAUUAUCAUAGCUAUCAGGUUAGUCAGAGUGCCAUGAUGAGUUCUAAUGCUGAGCGAAAAUUCAUUAAUCUCCGAAAACGUCUAGAUCAGCUUGGUUACAGACAGCCAUUAGGCAUUGAGUCCCUGCCACUGGUUGAAAAGCUUUUUAGUGACUUAGUCCACACUACUGAAAGUCUUCGAAAUGCCAAACUCUCGGCUGGAAAGACAGAAAAAGAAAGUCGAAAUCUUGAUGCCUUGUUGGAGCCGUAUAAGACGGAGAAUGCUCGACUGGUUCGAGAGAAUAACGAGCUGCAUUUGGGUCUUCUGAAAUUAAGGGAGGAGAAGGAUCGAAUCACUAGAGAGCUAAAGGCAUACAUCAGGAAACUUGACCAUGAAACCUCAGAUCUGAAGUUCCUCAACAACCAGUAUGUGCAUAAGGUGCGUGCCCUGGAGAAAGACAGCAAAGCUAAAACGGAACACAUUCAGCAGCUCCAAGAAAAGAACAUGCAGGCUGUUGUGCAGACGCCGGGAGGAAAGAAAAGGCCAAUUCCUUUCAGGCGACAACGAAUGCAGAUCGAUGAGCUGCUUCCUCCCUCACCUAAUCCCAGCCCUUCAGUGGUGGCACAGGCGGAUGACCCGUACAUUGCUGACCUUCUCCAGGUUGCUGAUGACAGGAUCCAGGAGCUACAGCAAGAGGUGACUGCACUAAAGUUGGAUCUAGAAAGAGCCCAGGGUGGAGUUAAACACCUUAACACACAGGUGGAGGAGCGAGAUAAAGAGGUUGAGCGUCUGAAUCGAGCUUUGGAUGGUGGGCGACCAUAUGACGUUCUCUCUCUGGAGGCUCAAAACAUGAGCAAUGAAAAGCUUAUUGCUCACUUGAACCUACAGAUUGAGUACCUGCAGGAGACAAACAGGACUCUGGAGCAGAAGGUGAAUGGUCUGCAAGAGAAAAAGAAAAAUGAGGUGGCUGAUUUGAGCGUCCGGAACCAGGAACUGUGCAAUGAACUAACCCAAAUAGACCAGCUUGCACAGCAGUUGGAGAAAGACAAAGAGAUGGUGCUUGAGGCAGCAGACAUAGAAUUGCAGGAGGCCAAGAAAGAAAUCCAGCGGCUGCACAGACAAAUUGAGGAGCUGGAAAAGGUCGCCUCUAAAUCACGACAGGACCUAGCAGAAUGGAAUCAUGAGAAGGACAGUAUGAUGGACCAACUGUCUGAAAUGCAGAAGCAGAAUGAGAAGAUGGAGGGACUAAUAAAUUUUCUAGAGGAGGAAAAGAGAAGACUGCAGGACAAAGUAGAGAGAAUGACACAAGCUGAUAAGGAAAUUAUUCUAGAGUUGGAGCGAAUGCGUGCUCAACAUGGAAUAUGUGGCAAAGAUCGCUCUCCAUCUCGAUUGGAUGCAUUUGUAAAGAGCUUGGAGGAAGAGCGGGACCACUACAAACAGGAGGCUGAGAGGUACCGCAGGACAAGAGGAGGAGCUGACGACAUUACCCUUAGUCCAUCCAAAAUCAGGAGUCCUAGAGGUCGGGGAAGCUGGCCUGCUAAGGAAGAGCGUGCAGAUAUUGAGCUGUCUCGUGCUGUAAGGGAGCGAGAUGAACUGCAAGCAAUGCUGCUGGGCUUUGAGAAACAGAUGGAAGACAUCCAGAUUAAAGUCAAACUUCUCACAUCAGAGAGAGACCAACUCGGUGCUCAAUAUCAACAAGCCCAGGAGGAGCUGAUGGUUAUUCGUAGGGACUUGGUGUUUUCUACUGAGCAACAGCAGAGAAAGAGUGGCCAGAGUGAUCAGGCAGAUUUGGAGCUCCUCAAAGUUACUGCAGAAAGAGACACUCUUCGUGAGAGACUUAAAGUAGCUCAGACCUCAGCUCUGACAGACAGAGAGUAUGAGGAGAUAAGGAUGCUGGAGCUGGAAAACACUGUUCAGAUGUUGGGAAGGGAGAGAGCAGAUUUGCGCACUCAGGUGGCUGUAUUAAAGGAAAGCCGUGAAGCUGUUAAUGAAGAACUAAAAGCUCGUUCAGCUGCUCUGCUUAAGAAUGCAGAGGAAAUGGCUCAGCAGAGGGCAGAGAGCAGCGCACUAAGGCUGCUGCAGGAGCAGAUGGAAAAAUCUCUUUCUGAUGUUCAGCACAGACUGUCUGUCAAAAACAGCGAAUUACAGGCAGCUCAUGAGCAACUGGACAAAUUAGACGAGAAAGUUGCCGAAUUGAGUAAGCACGGUUCAUCUAAAAAAGACGAGGUUGCAGUCCUGCAGGCUGCUAUAGCAUCUCUGGAUCAUGAGAAAGAUGCUUUGCAGGAGGCAGUGGACCAGAAAGCUGAGGGCAUGGUCCUGUUGCAGGAGCAAUUACAAAAGAAGGAGAAGACCCUUACAGAGGUCCGACUCACAAUAACAGAAAUGGAGAGCUCUUUAGAUCAGCUGAAGGGGGUGCUGAGUAGUCGUGAGCGGGAGAUUGCUAGUUUGCGCAGACAGCUAGACCAGUCGCAGGAAGAACUGACGGUAGUAAGCCGAGACAGAGAGGUAGCACUUAGAGAAAACCGCCGACUACAGGACGACCUGGCCACCAUGACCAGAGAACACCUGGCAGUGCAUAGAGAAAUGGAAGCAGCUUUGAGAGAGAGGGACGAACUGAAGAUGAGAGUUCACUCCUACAUUUCUGAGGUGGCCAAGAUCGAGAAAAUUAUGGCGACUAAGGAGCAGGAGAACAGGGAGAUGCUGGAGCAUUUUCGCUCUGCACACUUGGACGCUGAGGAGCGAGAGCAAAAACUGCAGCAGGCUGAAGGUCUUAACAACUCCAUCAAACUGGAGCUGCUCUCAUCUGACACGGAGCGCAGGCACCUUAGAGAGAAACUUUCUCUGCAGGACCGAGAGAUUCAGGAGCACAUGAGUGCUCUGCAGGUAUAUGAGGCUCAGGUAUCCUCUUUAAUGAGGGCAAUGUCUCGCCUGGAGGAGGUGCUGCAGUCAGUUCGGGCAGAGAAGGCCUCAGUGCUAGCUGAUCUUGCCUCUGUUCGAGAGCUCUGUGUGAAACUGGACUCUAGCAAAGAGCUAACCACACGCCAGCUAACCACUAAAAGCAUGGAGCUAGAGAGGGUGAGAGAGGGAGAGAAAAGCCCUGGAACAGGCGAGCUGGAAGACGUGCGCUCAGAGAUGGAGCUUCUAAAGAAGCAGCUAGCCAGUGAAAAGGUGGCUGUACGGAAUCUCGAGACCCUACUCUCUACCAACCGCCAAAAAGAGUUUCAGAACCACCUCAGUGCUAGUGAGAGGGAGUCAGAGCUAAAGGUGCUCAAAGACCGCCUGGCACUUGCUGACAACAAAACGGCGGGUCAUGUUAGGGAAGUUUCACAGCUGCGUGGGAAGGUCUCUCAGCUCCAGACAGAGAUGGAUGUGCUGAAAAGACAGCUGACAACCGAGCGCUUCGAGAGGGAAAGGGCAGUUCAGGAGAUGCGCAGACAGGGUGUGUCUUUUACCUCAUUGCGUAGCUCUUCCCCUCUCAGUACCUCACUCAGUCCUCGUCCACCUUCCCCUGAACGGUCUGUCCUACAACCACCAGAACACUCUUAAAACCCCAGAAAAAAGUGUAAGUUUUAAGGUCUAGAGAGAAGCAAAGUUUGAAGAACUCCGGAUGUCUGAAGGUAUUCUUUGUGCUGGUUCAUCCCUCUUAUCAUGAUUACUUAUGGACAUAAAACGGCUUGGACUGAUAAAAAGUUUAUAUUAUUGAAUUACUUGAUCCCUUCUCUGAAAUAUUUAUCAAUUUAGUUUGGCCUUAAAUGUGCAUUGGUCAAUAUGUGAUUAUGACUAAAUAAAAAGAAAAUAUCUUGGAAACAAGUGGGUAAAGCGUCACCUGAAAAUGCUGAAAGUGUUUACAACCUGUGUCAGUUACAGACACUUUACUCGGCAAGCAAACCUGAUGGACUCUUGUACUAAACACCCAGCAGCGUGAGGCCACCCAAAGAGGAUGGGUCCCUGCUGAGUCUGGUUCCUCUCAAGCGUGUCCAAUUACCCGAUUGCAUCAUGCUUCCUCUCCAACAAUGCUGAUCCCUGCUAUGAUCGAGGAGGACGAAGCUAACCCACGCCCCCUCCGACACGUGGGCAGCAUGCCGUAUUCAUCUUAUUACCUACACUUUGACGAGUGCAGUGCAGCUCAGCACUGUGAAAGGAGAGACACACCCUGAGAGCACUCUUUUCUCAUCUCUGUGCAGGCACCAUCAAUCAGCCAGCAGAGGUCAUAACUGCAUUAGUUAUGAGAGAGACCCUAUCCGGCUUAAUCCCGCCCAUAUCUGAACAACAGGCCAAUCGCUGUUCAUGUGGCCAACGCACACCACUCUUGACCAAGGAGCACAGGAAAGGUCACCUGGAAUAUAAGCCUGCAGAGUUCUGGGACAAAGUUCUAUGGAGUGACAAAUCAAAACUGGAACCAUUUGGCCAUAUGGAACAGUGGUUUGUUUGACACAAGAAAAAAGUGAACAAAGUUUAUGUCCAGAGAAAUUCCAGCCCCAUAAUCGAGCUGUCAUGAUGUGGGGAUGUUUCUGUACUGCAGGAAAUCUUGGCAAUCUUGACCGUAUGAAUGGCAUCAUUUAUUCACAAAAAUAUUUUUGAGGAGGACUGUGAUGCGUUCUAUGAAACUGAACUUUGGUGAUAAUUAGAAUUUCCAGCAAGACAAAGAUCCCAAGCACACUUCUAAGUUCUGGAAUAUCCUGGAGUGUCUUCUCAGUCUCCAGAUUUAAAUCCCAUUGAAAAUUUGUGGGAUUUAAAGAAAGCAGUUCCAGCACAAAAUCCAUCAAACCUCAAUAAUCUGGAAGCUUUUCCCUUAAAAGAAUCAAUGAGGAUUCUAUAAGAGAUGUGUCAGAAGCUUGUUAACACUCACUUAUUAAAGAUCAUCAAGGGAAAAAGGAUGAUCCACCAAGUUCUGAGACUGGGGGUUGAAUAAUAGUGCACAUGGGCAUUUGCCAAAGGAACCAGAUACUUUUUUAUUUAAACUCAAAAUUUGUCCAUUUGAGUUCUAUAGACAAGACCAUAAUAUUUUAAGGUGAUAGGGUUGAAUAUUUCUGUUUGCAACUGUAUCUACUAUAAAUGACAUCAUAAAAAUGUAAAGCUUAGUAAUGGCUACAGAAUCUUGUGCAUCUUGAUGCAGUAUACAGUCUGGUUUGUGCCCAGCACAACAUGGUGAAAUGCCACCAUCUAUAUGGCAAUACUAUUCAUUCUUUCAUUAUACAAUAGACAGCUUGCUUGAUUGGACUGGACUUGCAGUACUAAAUAGUGGUUAUAAUUUAAAUAGCUUUUGAGCAUGCCACUCGGGUCAUGAUCACAUACAUGUUGGAUUCUGUACAAUAGAAAUA
Molecule: RNA transcript, 5399 nt
Organism: Trichomycterus rosablanca
Lineage: Eukaryota; Metazoa; Chordata; Actinopteri; Siluriformes; Trichomycteridae
Gene: cep135
Gene name: centrosomal protein 135
Exons: 29
Source: RefSeq, a predicted model, not a curated record